UUAGCCGGAAAGACCUGGUGGAGAAGGGCAAGCUGAUAUAGAUGCAGGGGUAAUUGAUUGGGAGCCAUCCCCUGGGACAGAGGCAAGGAUGGAUUCCAGAGUCUACCUGAUGAAUUGGCCUUGCACGGAGGAGGGGCUCCUCUUCCUCUGAGGUCCGUGUGGCC
RNAcentral lists this unclassified non-coding RNA (164 nucleotides) under Mus musculus (house mouse). Its description in RNAcentral is "noncoding RNA TB4424b.RT". The record is from RNAcentral. Lineage: Eukaryota; Metazoa; Chordata; Mammalia; Rodentia; Muridae.